Long non-coding RNA from Asparagus officinalis (garden asparagus), 2303 nucleotides. RefSeq lists it as uncharacterized. The transcript is spliced from 2 exons. The record is from RefSeq and is a predicted model, not a curated record. NCBI's taxonomy places the organism in Eukaryota, Viridiplantae, Streptophyta, Magnoliopsida, Asparagales, Asparagaceae.
UAGCGCUUCUCAGCAGGGUUUUUUUGAAAAAAGCCAGCGAUUUCUAGGGGAAAAUCUCUCUCGUGUAAAAACCCCCCGUGACCCCAAAUCCCAGAUCCAAAUAAAUCAGAUCCCCAACUCUCUCUUCCCCAACACUCAGAUCCCCAUCUCUCUCUUCCCCAACCCUCAAACCCCCAAACCCUCUCUUCCCCAACUCUCUCUUCCCCAACCUCUCCCCCUUCCCACGAUUACACGCGUCAACGAUCGGUCCGAAGUAAGCCUGAAUCCUUUAAAUGAGCAAGCCAGCGGGGACGGAGGAGUCGGAGCCCGAAGAACCGAAGAGGGCCAUGGGGUACUUUACGACGAUGCUGAAGAGGGAUCGGAUCGCCAGCGAUCUGAUCGAAUCGGACCUCAGGGAGCUCGGGACCGCAGCGUAGAAGCUGGUGAAUCAUGGAGCCACUUUCUUUAAAUCCCUCGCUUCGAUUGCUGCCAUGUGAGCCCCAUCGACUUCUUUCAUCAUCAUUUACAUUUAUCUAUCUACUUAAAAGUGCUAAUGAUUGGUAAAUGCUCUGUGCUUUUUUAGUGAUUCCCAAUGAAUAUAAAAGUAGGAUAUAUAUGCUCUUCGUUUGUGGAUUGGUAUUAAUUUAGCUUGCUAUACAACUAUUGUAAGUUUUACCUAUAAAUCAGUUGUUGCAGGAAAUUCUCAUCCUUAUUGAUUGAUGUUAGAUGGACUAGUUUUAAUCUAGUCGGAUUUUAUGUCGGUGGUCCACCAACGAAAUGGCCCCAUGAUUUGAUGAAUGAGAGCAAGUUGUGAGUAGUUUCAAAGAAAAGGAGAUGAUAAUAAAAAUCAUCGUAUAGCAUAUACUUUGCUCUAAUUGUGAAUGUAUAGUAUAUACUCCGUCAUCUUACUCUGAUGGACUUUUUUUAUAAAGUAGAGAAUGAUGAUCGAUGGGCUGCUUGUUUAAUUAAUCACAGAAGAAUUGUUUGGCAAAGGCUUCUUGCUGCAUAUAUAGAGAACGAAGCAGCUAGCUCCCUCAGUGUUCGAUUAAUUAGUUCGAGGUUUUCAGCAAGUGACAAUGCGCCUAGUACUGUCAGCUUCUAAGCAACUGACUUCACUUUCUAGAUUGCCUUCAUUUGCCAAAUAAUUGACCCUUAUUAUUGGAUUUGGAUCCUCUCCACUACAAAAAAGUAGUGGAGAGACCACUACUUUUAAUCUCAAGCAUUGAUUAUUUAGUAGGCGGUUAUGAUACAAUCUAAAUCUAACACUUAUCAUAUCCCCGUGUAUUGCACUCAUUCCUAAUUUGCACUAAAAGAAAAAAUCAUAACCAUCAACUAGAUAAUCAAUGGCUGUGAUUAUGUAGUGGUCCCUCCACUAUUUUUUUUUGUAGUGGAGAGGAUCUGAAUCCCUUAUUAUUACCUCUCUGAAUACGCGACAUGCAUGAACGCUCUCAAAUAUGCUCUUUUAUUAUGAUAUUGGAUGGGUUUCAUUUAGGAAUAUGUUCAGUUUUUUAUUUGGCUGAUUUGUCUCAUUUGAAAGAUUGACUACAGGUAUGACAGUUGAUGACAAAAAGAAAACUAAUUGUUCCUCUAUGUUAUUGAUUUGAGCAGAAAAAGGUUGGACCUAUAAGUAUCAACUCAUGGCUUACCAACCAUUUUAUCAUUCUUCUAUUUCAUUUAGAGAGCAAGCAAUUAGAGGGCAAAUAGAUGGGCUGAAAUGAAGUUGAAAUUAUCUACUCAAAACUUUGAAUUAAAGGUGUUAGCAUCCAAGUCCAAUGAAGUCUGAAUACAACCCGGUGACAACAAAUAGUGGCAAACCAAUGCAUAUUAAUCUUUAAUAAAUAGUACAAACCACUUCAAAGGACAAAACACUAAUUAGAAGCACUAAUUAAAGGAUUAACCACUGUUGUGUAGAAAGCGCAUUGGACACUAAAACGGCACUUGAAGUUACCUACAUUCAUAAACAAGCCACAGCAUUCCAGCCUCUCCCUUGUGCAUGUUUUGCUACUCAUCUAAGACCAAUAAAAGCAAAUACAAGACAUACCCAGUAGUUCUGACACUUUCACUUGAGGGAUAUCAUACUUAUUAGUAGCAAGCAUUGUAACCUUCAACAAAUGCUCAGAAACCCAUAAUGCUAACCAUGUAACCAAGGAAAAUUCACACUAACAAAGAGACUGCAACUCUCAAAUGAAGAGGAAUGCUCAUAAGCAAACACAAUAGGUGCAUACAUAACAAGAAAAUUCACACUGUCUAUGUUUCAACAAAUAAUGGAUAUACACAACAUAUCAACAACAAAUUGAAAGAGACUGCAACUUCAGCAUUCUUCA